CUCAACACACAAAAAUGAGACCACUGGGUAAAACGCUGUUAUGGCAGGUAAGAAACAAGGGCAAUAUAUUAUAUAUAUAAUAUGUGUUGUGCUUUUUCAUUGAUUUAAAAUAUUCUUGCAUUUGCAUAUAAUUAUUUAUUCUACAUAGUAUGUAUGUUCAUUAUUUAUUAAGCCUUAUUUAUAAAGUCAAUUAACCACAACAAGAGGUCUUAAAUUAGAGGGACAAAGGUUUAAAAAUAAUAUCAGGAAGUAUUACUUUACUGAGAGGGUAGUGGAUGCAUGGAAUAGCCUUCCAGCUUAAGUGGUAGAGGUUAACACAGUAAAGGAGUUUAAGCAUGCGUGGGAUAGGCAUAAGGCUAUCCUAACUAUAAGAUAAGGCCAGGGACUAAUGAAAGUAUUUAGAAAAUUGGGCAGACUAGAUGGGCCGAAUGGUUCUUAUCUGCCGUCACAUUCUAUGUUUCUAUGUUUCUAUGGAAGAUUUAUUGGGGUGGACAUAUAAUAACUAUAUCCCAUCAACACAACAAAUAUAUUAAACAGCAUACUUUUAUGGAUUUACAUACUACGGGAAAUGGGUAAAUAGAUAAUUUUAUGCAUGACAUUUAAUCAUGUGUGUGCUUUAUUUAAAAAAAAAACAAAAAAACAGAAUUGCAGUGAAUUAAAAACUGCAAGAAUUGGAAACAAAUUUGGAAGAACUCAACUAUAGGCACAACGUUGCUAUUUUAGAUCUUUACAUUUCCAACUCAGGUUUCAGCAUUGCCUCUAGUGAAUAAACCACUUUAUGAUGAGGUUAGGAUUUGUAGAAGACGCAGUUAGCUCUCCCCUUUUAUAAAUAAGCAACAUUUUCACUCCCACUCAGCCCUAACUUUGGACCUUUCUACCCAACACCUUGACCUCUUCCCCUAGUUCCCGCUUUAUAUUGUCUGAUUUUACCCAAUUCUCUCUCUUUUGUUAAGAGUAAUAAUUAAUAGAUGAAUAAUGACUAAUCUGUGUAAAUGUCUCUGGAUAAAUGUAUUGUACAAGUAAUGCUACAAAAAAUAUAAUAGAUUUCUAUUUUGGGUCACGGGAAUGUUUUGCACUCAAAUGUAUAUCGUGGCAUUCCUGAUGCAAUAGUAAUAUGUAGGAGUUUCCAUCGAUGGCUCACUGUCGCAGUCGUCUUAGAUGUCUAUCAUAGUGAGCACCUGUGAAGAAAGCACUAAGAUCUUUUAAAAAUUGUUUCCUAAGGUCCUGCCUCUCCUGACUCUUAUAUUGAUCACCCACGUGACGCAAGCAGCUAAAAAUUCAACGUCCUCAAAGAAGGCAAGGUGUCAAAAACAGAAGACAGACUGUAAAGACUGCAUCCUUGUAAAGUUACCAAAUAAGUCCAGUGACGGAACAUCUUACCAAAACAGUAUAGCAAACCUGGAGAACCGAUCCAUUGUUCCAUGGACAAUAGUGUAAGUUUCUGUAAUUAGCUCCUCCAUAUCUGUGACAUUUAACUUAUGACCCCUGCAUACACAUCAGACUACCAGUACCAGAUUAUUAGAAUAAAAGGGCCAUAUAGUCAUCCUGUCCUGUCUGUAACUGGCUUUCACAUUUAUUUAUUUUUUUUGGUCUCUCUAUUUGUUUUAUAUUUUCACUGUCUAUAAACCUCUUUGUACUGUAUUAUUUAAAUGUUAUUAUUUAUACAGUGCCAGCAAAUAUUGCAGCGCCUCUUCUUCUUUGCACCUUUACCAAUGUAAUUUCACCACUGUACAAACAUAGCACAGUAGGGUAGUGAAGCUCUCUGCCUGCAGACAAGAUAGGGGUCCACCUGUCAUACAAUCACCCACAGUGGGCUAAAGACCCUUCUUACCUUCUUAAAUGUGGUAUUGUGCACACAAACUGGGCUCAGUGUAGAAUAGGCCAGGCCUCUAAAGAUCAGAAUUUAGAAUGCAGUUUGUUGUGUAAAAGAAGCAUUUGAAAUACUUGGGAUUUAGGCAGAUGCUCCAUUCGACACCACAGUAAAACUAUCUGGUUCAAUGUUUGUUUGUUUUUUUCAACCUCCCUGCUUCCUACUGACUUUGGGUCGCAGAAAUGUGAUCCAUGCAACUGCUUAUACCUAAGAUACCACACUUGUAAGACAAAUAUUGCUAUGAAACAUGACUAAUCAGCACUAUAUCUCUGCAGGUCAAAUUCUAAAGGGCAAACAA
Non-coding RNA from Pelobates cultripes (western spadefoot toad), 2168 nucleotides. NCBI's taxonomy places the organism in Eukaryota, Metazoa, Chordata, Amphibia, Anura, Pelobatidae. The record is from the annotation of a GenBank genome assembly.